AAGGUAAUAGCUCAGUGGUAGAGCACAUGCUUAGCAUGCAUAAGGUUCUGGGUUCCCCAGUACCUCC
RNAcentral lists this transfer RNA (67 nucleotides) under Camelus bactrianus (Bactrian camel). It matches the Rfam family "tRNA". From Rfam's summary of the family: Transfer RNA (tRNA) molecules are approximately 80 nucleotides in length. Their secondary structure includes four short double-helical elements and three loops (D, anti-codon, and T loops). The record is from Rfam by way of RNAcentral. Lineage: Eukaryota; Metazoa; Chordata; Mammalia; Artiodactyla; Camelidae. RNAcentral also lists the same sequence under 2 other names.